GUGGCGAACGGGUGAGUAAUACAUCGGAACGUGCCCGAUCGUGGGGGAUAACGGAGCGAAAGCUUUGCUAAUACCGCAUACGAUCUACGGAUGAAAGCAGGGGACCGCAAGGCCUUGCGCGGACGGAGCGGCCGAUGGCAGAUUAGGUAGUUGGUGGGAUAAAAGCUUACCAAGCCGACGAUCUGUAGCUGGUCUGAGAGGACGACCAGCCACACUGGGACUGAGAUACGGCCCAGACUCCUACGGGAGGCAGCAGUGGGGAAUUUUGGACAAUGGGCGAAAGCCUGAUCCAGCCAUGCCGCGUGCAGGAUGAAGGCCUUCGGGUUGUAAACUGCUUUUGUACGGAACGAAAAGACUCCUUCUAAUAAAGGGGGUUCAUGACGGUACCGUAAGAAUAAGCACCGGCUAACUACGUGCCAGCAGCCGCGGUAAUACGUAGGGUGCAAGCGUUAAUCGGAAUUACUGGGCGUAAAGCGUGCGCAGGCGGUUAUAUAAGACAGAUGUGAAAUCCCCGGGCUCAACCUGGGAACUGCAUUUGUGACUGUAUAGCUAGAGUACGGCA
RNAcentral lists this ribosomal RNA (562 nucleotides) under uncultured bacterium. RNAcentral describes it as "bacterial SSU rRNA". It matches the Rfam family "Bacterial small subunit ribosomal RNA", at positions 95 to 653 of the family's 1533-position model. The record is from RNAcentral.